This 213-nucleotide long non-coding RNA is filed under the name Elaeis guineensis (African oil palm). Its description in RNAcentral is "long non-coding RNA (EGUI_LNC042100)". The record is from RNAcentral. Lineage: Eukaryota; Viridiplantae; Streptophyta; Magnoliopsida; Arecales; Arecaceae.
CAGGCUGAGCCUUAAUCUUCAAGCCCAACCCUCCUCGAUGGACCUAUUUUUCAGAUCCAAUGCACUUCCGCAAGCCUUAAAUUUUGACCUGAGUGUGCCCAAAAGUUUGGAGCUCGAGUAGGCCAGACAGGCCAUCGGGUCCGUAAACAGAUCCACUUGAAGACCGUGAACAGGCCAAUUUGGCUUAUGGCUGAAUCUAGGAAUAUGGUCCCC